Pongo pygmaeus (Bornean orangutan) is the source of this 1773-nucleotide long non-coding RNA. RefSeq lists it as uncharacterized. The transcript has 3 exons. The record is from RefSeq and is a predicted model, not a curated record. Lineage: Eukaryota; Metazoa; Chordata; Mammalia; Primates; Hominidae.
AUGGAAUCAGUGGCCCAGGAGACUGACUAGUCACAUGGGAAUCAAUCAACAAAUAAUGGCUAUGUAAUGCAGCCUCAAAAAUUACUUGUAAAACCAGGGCUCGGCUGGGCGCGGUGGCUCAUGCCUGUAAUCCCAGCACUUCGGGAGGCCAAGGCGGGCAGAUCACGAGGUCAGGAGAUCCAGACCAUCCUGGCUAACAUGGUGAAACCCCGUCUCUACUAAAAAUACAAAAAAAUUAGCCGGACAUGGUGGCAGGCGCCUGUAGUCCCAGCUACUCGGGAGGCUGAGGCAGGAGAAUGGCGAGAACCCAAGAGGCAGAGCUUGCAGUGAGCUGAGAUCGCGCCACUGCACUCCAGCCUGGGUGACAGAACGAGACUCCCUCUCAAAAAAAAAAAACAGGGCUCAGGAGAAGGAGAAACCUGGCGUCAGUGACGUGCAUGCAGACUUUGGAAAGGCAAAUGGGCUGCAGAAAUGAAUAUGCUUCCUACGAAAAGCUCCAGGAUAAGUCACAUGGAAGGCAUAUAGCUCAGUAUGGUAAUAAAAAGAAUGCUUAGAAGUUUCCAUGGGAUGUGCGUCCACUGUAAACACACAAUGCAAUCAAAUAACGGAAUCUAAGAAUGUCAUAAUUAAAUGCAUGGCCAUUGGAAGACAAAAAACAUGUUCUGCAAUAUCUCUCUUUCACCAUAGUUUGUGUUUCACUUAUUAGCUCUCUCCAUAAUUCCAGGAGACAGUGAAGUCACCCCAUUCAUUAGUUUAUAUAUCAGGUUAACAAAAAUUUGGAAACCUGCCAUGUACCAGGACUAUUCUAGGCACUGAAAAUACAGCCAUGAAGAGUUAAAAUUCCUUAGACAUUACGGUCCAGCAUGUAGAAGUGACAGAUAAACAGAAGUAUGUAAGACUUGGUACAAGAGAGCACAAGAAGAAUCAAAAUAGAGCGGAAUUAUAAAGAGAGUGGUUUGGGAUGGCUUCUCUCAUGACUUUAAAACUGAAAAGAAACUUGAAUAACUGAAGGAGAUGCCAGGAGGUUUUGAGGUGACAGAGUAUCCCAAUGACUGAGAUGAGCAAGCAAGGGCUGAGACAGAAGCUUCUGUAGAGACAGAAUAAUGGUUCCUAAAAGAUGUCCACAUCCAGUCCCCAGGACCUAUGAUCAUGUUGUUAUACAGCAGGGGAACAGAGGUUGUAGAUGCAAUUAAGGUUGCUAGUCAGUUAACCAGAGAACAGAAAGAUCAUCCUGGAUUAUCCAGGAGUGAUCAAAGCAAUUACAAGGGCCCCAUAACGUGAAAGAGGAAGGCAUAAGAAGAGUGGCAGAGGGAGCGUGACUAUGGGGAUGCAAGUUGCUGCCUUCGAAGAUGGAGGAAGGGAAGCAAGAGCCAAGGAGUGUGGACAGUGCCUAGACACUGAUAAGCCAAAGUAAAGGCUUCUCACCAAGAGCAUCCAGAAAACAUGAAGCCCUACAGACAACUUGGUAAUUGCCCAGUGAGAUGUAUCAGACUUCAUCCCUAAAGACCACAAAAAUAAUAAAUGUUUGUCACUCAGUCUGCUCAGUCUGUGGUCACUGGGUACCAGCAAAAGGCAACACUGUGUCCUUGGGAGGACAGAGAAACAGCAGGGAGAAUGAAGUGGCUGGUAAAGACAGAGCAAGAAGGAGAGGACAGGAGAUGUAAUUAGAGAGGUGGCAGGGAGGGGAUGAAGAGCAGAUCACAGGGUCUCUAAAAGUCAAUUAAAGAGGUUGUAACUUUAAUAAAAAUAAGCCAAACAGGCUUUUGAGCUGAG